GACGAACGCUGGCGGCGUGCUUAACACAUGCAAGUCGAACGGAAAGGCCCUGCUUUUGUGGGGUGCUCGAGUGGCGAACGGGUGAGUAACACGUGAGUAACCUGCCCUUGACUUUGGGAUAACUUCAGGAAACUGGGGCUAAUACCGGAUAGGAGCUCCUGCUGCAUGUUGGGGGUUGGAAAGUUUCGGCGGUUGGGGAUGGACUCGCGGCUUAUCAGCUUGUUGGUGGGGUAGUGGCUUACCAAGGCUUUGACGGGUAGCCGGCCUGAGAGGGUGACCGGGCACAUUGGGAAUGAGAUACGGGCCAGACUCCUACGGGAGGCAGCAGGGGGGAAUAUUGCAAAAUGGGGGGAAGCCGGAUGCAGCAACGCCGCGGGCGGGAAGAAGGCCUUCGGGUUGUAAACCGCUUUCGCCUGUGACGAAGCGUGAGUGACGGUAAUGGGUAAAGAAGCACCGGCUAACUACGUG
RNAcentral lists this ribosomal RNA (468 nucleotides) under uncultured bacterium. RNAcentral's name for it is "partial 16S ribosomal RNA". It matches the Rfam family "Bacterial small subunit ribosomal RNA", at positions 28 to 507 of the family's 1533-position model. The record is from RNAcentral.